GGGCAUUGCGGCAGCUUACACAUGCAGUCGAGGGGUAGAGUUCUUCGGAGCUUGAGACCGGCGCACGGGUGCGUAACGCGUAUGCAAUCUACCUUUUACAGAGGGAUAGCCCAGAGAAAUUUGGAUUAAUACCUCAUAGUAUUAUGUCUCGGCAUCGAGAUAUAAUUAAAGUCACAACGGUAAAAGAUGAGCAUGCGUCCCAUUAGCUAGUUGGUAAGGUAACGGCUUACCAAGGCUACGAUGGGUAGGGGUCCUGAGAGGGAGAUCCCCCACACUGGUACUGAGACACGGACCAGACUCCUACGGGAGGCAGCAGUGAGGAAUAUUGGACAAUGGGCGCAAGCCUGAUCCAGCCAUGCCGCGUGCAGGAUGACGGUCCUAUGGAUUGUAAACUGCUUUUGUACGAGAAGAAACACUACUUCGUGAAGUAGCUUGACGGUAUCGUAAGAAUAAGGAUCGGCUAACUCCGUGCCAGCAGCCGCGGUAAUACGGAGGAUCCAAGCGUUAUCCGGAAUCAUUGGGUUUAAAGGGUCCGUAGGCGGUUUAGUAAGUCAGUGGUGAAAGCCCAUCGCUCAACGGUGGAACGGCCAUUGAUACUGCUAGACUUGAAUUAUUAGGAAGUAACUAGAAUAUGUAGUGUAGCGGUGAAAUGCUUAGAGAUUACAUGGAAUACCAAUUGCGAAGGCAGGUUACUACUAAUGGAUUGACGCUGAUGGACGAAAGCGUGGGUAGCGAACAGGAUUAGAUACCCUGGUAGUCCACGCCGUAAACGAUGGAUACUAGCUGUUGGGAGCAAUUUCAGUGGCUAAGCGAAAGUGAUAAGUAUCCCACCUGGGGAGUACGUUCGCAAGAAUGAAACUCAAAGGAAUUGACGGGGGCCCGCACAAGCGGUGGAGCAUGUGGUUUAAUUCGAUGAUACGCGAGGAACCUUACCAAGGCUUAAAUGUAGUUUGACCGAUUUGGAAACAGAUCUUUCGCAAGACAAAUUACAAGGUGCUGCAUGGUUGUCGUCAGCUCGUGCCGUGAGGUGUCAGGUUAAGUCCUAUAACGAGCGCAACCCCUGUUGUUAGUUGCCAGCGAGUCAAGUCGGGAACUCUAACAAGACUGCCAGUGCAAACUGUGAAGAAAGGUGGGGAUGACUUCAAAUCAUCACGGCCCUUACGCCUUGGGCUACACCCGUGCUACAAGGGCCGGUACAAAAAGCACCCCCGGGGCGACCAGGAGCGAUCUCA
RNAcentral lists this ribosomal RNA (1232 nucleotides) under Flavobacterium sp. RNAcentral's name for it is "bacterial SSU rRNA". It matches the Rfam family "Bacterial small subunit ribosomal RNA", at positions 31 to 1276 of the family's 1533-position model. Lineage: Bacteria; Pseudomonadati; Bacteroidota; Flavobacteriia; Flavobacteriales; Flavobacteriaceae. The record is from RNAcentral.